ACGGCAAUCCCAGCUUCAACGGGCCGGUGCCAGGCGUGCCUCCCGGCGAUGCCCAUCGGUCGCCGACGCCUCCUAGCACGCCAGCUGGCUCACAAGGUGUCUCUCCCGGCGGCGACAACAACAACAAGAAGAAGAGAUCAGGUCUGGUGCUGGCUACUACCAUCCCGGUCUCAGUCAGUGUGGUGGCGCUCAUCUCGCUGGGUGCCGUGCUGCUCUUCCGCAAGAAAAACAACGGGUCCG
RNAcentral lists this microRNA precursor (240 nucleotides) under Lolium arundinaceum. Its description in RNAcentral is "Festuca arundinacea miR1134 stem-loop (far-MIR1134)". The record is from miRBase by way of RNAcentral. Lineage: Eukaryota; Viridiplantae; Streptophyta; Magnoliopsida; Poales; Poaceae.